AGUGAACGCUGGCGGUAGGCCUAACACAUGCCAGUCGAACGGCAGCACAGUAAGAGCUUGCUCUUACGGGUGGCGAGUGGCGGACGGGUGAGGAAUACAUCGGAAUCUACUUUUUCGUGGGGGAUAACGUAGGGAAACUUACGCUAAUACCGCAUACGACCUACGGGUGAAAGCAGGGGAUCUUCGGACCUUGCGCGAUUGAAUGAGCCGAUGUCGGAUUAGCUAGUUGGCGGGGUAAAGGCCCACCAAGGCGACGAUCCGUAGCUGGUCUGAGAGGAUGAUCAGCCACACUGGAACUGAGACACGGUCCAGACUCCUACGGGAGGCAGCAGUGGGGAAUAUUGGACAAUGGGCGCAAGCCUGAUCCAGCCAUACCGCGUGGGUGAAGAGGGCCUUCGGGUUGUAAAGCCCUUUUGUUGGGAAAGAAAAGCAGCAGGUUAAUACCCCGCUGUUCUGACGGUACCCAAAGAAUAAGCACCGGCUAACUUCGU
RNAcentral lists this ribosomal RNA (491 nucleotides) under uncultured bacterium. RNAcentral describes it as "partial 16S ribosomal RNA". It matches the Rfam family "Bacterial small subunit ribosomal RNA", at positions 29 to 506 of the family's 1533-position model. The record is from RNAcentral.